AUAGAUACCCCGGUAGUCCACGCCGUAAACGAUGAGUGCUAAGUGUUAGAGGGUUUCCGCCCUUUAGUGCUGCAGCUAACGCAUUAAGCACUCCGCCUGGGGAGUACGGCCGCAAGGCUGAAACUCAAAGGAAUUGACGGGGGCCCGCACAAGCGGUGGAGCAUGUGGUUUAAUUCGAAGCAACGCGAAGAACCUUACCAGGUCUUGACAUCCUCUGACAACCCUAGAGAUAGGGCUUUCCCCUUCGGGGGACAGAGUGACAGGUGGUGCAUGGUUGUCGUCAGCUCGUGUCGUGAGAUGUUGGGUUAAGUCCCGCAACGAGCGCAACCCUUGAUCUUAGUUGCCAGCAUUCAGUUGGGCACUCUAAGGUGACUGCCGGUGACAAACCGGAGGAAGGUGGGGAUGACGUCAAAUCAUCAUGCCCCUUAUGACCUGGGCUACACACGUGCUACAAUGGAUGGUACAAAGGGCUGCAAACCUGCGAAGGUAAGCGAAUCCCAUAAAGCCAUUCUCAGUUCGGAUUGC
This 525-nucleotide ribosomal RNA is filed under the name uncultured bacterium. RNAcentral's name for it is "bacterial SSU rRNA". It matches the Rfam family "Bacterial small subunit ribosomal RNA", at positions 778 to 1301 of the family's 1533-position model. The record is from RNAcentral.